ACUAUGAGCAACUGUCACGCCUGACCCAGAGCUGGAGGAACUGGAGGUCUUCUUAAAGGAAAACUCUGGUUUGGGGCUGUGCAUAUUCCAGCUCACUGGGUGAUGGUCAUUGGAGCAGGGCCAGCCCCCAUGUGGCGACAGGGCCUACAGGAGCUGCGUGCGGCCUCUGUCACGUCCAGUCACAGGGUCUCGGCCCGAGCCACGGAUGAGUGCAGAGCAGCCCAGGGAGUGCUGGAGGCGGUGGCAGGUCGCUGGGGUGGUGCCUGGCUCCGGCAGUUUCUGAAAUUUGAAGCUGUUGAAAGAAAUGGCAGGACGGGGCAUGGGGUCAGAGGCCAGGGGAGGUGGGGGGAUGCGGAGUGGGAGCAGUCGCCAGGCGGGCCAGCCCCCAGAGAAGCCCGUCCACCAUUCGGGUCCCCGGCUGAGACGCUGCCCUCACUUCCCUGGGGGAGAGAGGCCGCUUGUACCAGGCAAAGGUUUCCACCGCAUUCCGACCAGCCAGGCCAUGAUAAGGCAGAGCGGGUGCCCUGAGGAGCCGUGCCGGGACGCCGCCAUCCUCGGGAACCAGAAAUCUGCCUCCUGAGCCUCCCAGGGGGACAUGACCCUCCCCUAUAACCUGCCAGCUGUGCUGGACCAGCAGCAGGAACUCUGGGGACCACCGUCUGACUGCCCACAGGCUGGGUCUGGGCUUCCCAGGUCUGUGUGGACGAGGCAGUUUUCUGGAGUUUCACCCAGUGGGUCAUUGUCUGGGGAGGGGAAAUGUCCUGAACAUGGAUUCUGUGUUUGUUUUCCUGGAAAAGAAUGAUUUGAUUAAUUUGCUAUGAGUUCAUGCGUGUGGUCAGUGGUCAGGAAGACGCCAAGGUUUGCUCUCCCUCCGAAGACACGGAGGCCCAUGUAAACAGCACAAUG
Long non-coding RNA from Equus quagga, 906 nucleotides. RefSeq lists it as uncharacterized. Lineage: Eukaryota; Metazoa; Chordata; Mammalia; Perissodactyla; Equidae. The record is from RefSeq and is a predicted model, not a curated record. The transcript has 3 exons.